This 396-nucleotide ribosomal RNA is filed under the name uncultured bacterium. RNAcentral's name for it is "partial 16S ribosomal RNA". It matches the Rfam family "Bacterial small subunit ribosomal RNA", at positions 338 to 731 of the family's 1533-position model. The record is from RNAcentral.
CCUACGGGAGGCAGCAGUGAGGAAUAUUGGUCAAUGGCCGCGAGCCUGAACCAGCCAAGUAGCGUGAAGGAUGACGGCCCUACGGGUUGUAAACUUCUUUUAUAGAGGAGUAAAGUGAGGCACGUGUGCCUCUUUGAAUGUACUCUAUGAAUAAGGAUCGGCUAACUCCGUGCCAGCAGCCGCGGUAAUACGGAGGAUCCGAGCGUUAUCCGGAUUUAUUGGGUUUAAAGGGAGCGUAGAUGGGUGGUGAAGUCAGUUGUGAAAGUUUGCGGCUCAACCGCAAAAUUGCAGUUGAUACUGGAAGCCUUGAGUGCAGUUGAGGUAGGCGGAAUUCGUGGUGUAGCGGUGAAAUGCAUAGAUAUCACGAAGAACUCCGAUUGCGAAGGCAGCAUACUA